This 386-nucleotide ribosomal RNA is filed under the name uncultured bacterium. RNAcentral's name for it is "bacterial SSU rRNA". It matches the Rfam family "Bacterial small subunit ribosomal RNA", at positions 28 to 417 of the family's 1533-position model. The record is from RNAcentral.
GACGAACGCUGGCGGCGUGCUUAACACAUGCAAGUCGAGCGGUAAGGCCCUUCGGGGUACACGAGCGGCGAACGGGUGAGUAACACGUGGGUGACCUGCCUCUAGCUCUGGGAUAAGCCUGGGAAACUGGGUCUAAUACCGGAUAUGACUCCACGGCGCAUGUUGUGGGGUGGAAAGCCUUGUGUGGCUAGAGAUGGGCCCGCGGCCUAUCAGCUUGUUGGUGGGGNGAUGGCCUACCAAGGCGACGACGGGUAGCCGGCCUGAGAGGGCGACCGGCCACACUGGGACUGAGACACGGCCCAGACUCCUACGGGAGGCAGCAGUGGGGAAUCUUGCGCAAUGGGCGAAAGCCUGACGCAGCGACGCCGCGUGAGGGAUGACGGCCU